CGCUUUUUGAGUUUAAUAAAAAGUACAACCUGCCCACUGAGAGUUUAAAUGGCCGCGGUAAUUUGACCGUGCGAAGGUAGCAUAAUCAUUAGUCUAUUAAUUGUAGACUGGUAUGAAUGGUUUAAAUGAAUAAUGGCUGUCUCUUAAAUAAUAAUGAAUUUUAAGAUUUUGUGAAGAUGCAAAAAUUAAAUUAGAAGACGAGAAGACCCUAUUAAGCUUUAUAUCACUUUUGUUUAAUAAGAAUAAUAGUUAAAGUGUUAUUUUGUUGGGGCGAUAGUAAAGAUUAAAUAACCUUUAUAUAAAUUGAUAUUUUUAAUAGAUUUAUGAUCCAUAAUAUAUGAUUAAUAGAACAAGUUACUAUAGGGAUAACAGCGUAAUUUUAUCAGAGAGUCCAAAUUGAUGAUAAAGAUUGCGACCUCGAUGUUGAAUUAGGAUACCUUUAAGGUGUAGCCGUUUUAGAAGGUAGACUGUUCGUCUAUUAAAGUCCUACA
RNAcentral lists this ribosomal RNA (491 nucleotides) under Anopsobius neozelandicus. RNAcentral's name for it is "partial 16S ribosomal RNA". It matches the Rfam family "Bacterial large subunit ribosomal RNA", at positions 1819 to 2600 of the family's 2925-position model. Lineage: Eukaryota; Metazoa; Arthropoda; Chilopoda; Lithobiomorpha; Henicopidae. The record is from RNAcentral.